CCUACGGGGGGCAGCAGUGGGGGAUAUUGCACAAUGGGGGGAACCCUGAUGCAGCGACGCCGCGUGGGUGAAGGAGUGCUUCGGCAUGUAAAGCCCUAUCGGCAGGGAAGAAGCAAGACGGUACCUGACUAAGAAGCCCCGGCUAACUACGUGCCAGCAGCCGCGGUAAUACGUAGGGGGCGAGCGUUAUCCGGAUUCACUGGGUGUAAAGGGAGCGUAGACGGCCAUGCAAGCCAGGGGGGAAAGCCCGGGGCCCAACCCCGGGACUGCCCUUGGAACUGUGCGGCUAGAGUGCGGGAGGGGCAGGCGGAAUUCCUGGUGUAGCGGUGAAAUGCGUAGAUAUCAGGAGGAACACCGGCGGCGAAGGCGGCCUGCUGGACUGCGACUGACGUUGAGGCUCGAAAGCGUGGGGAGCGAACAGGAUUAGAUACCCGGGUAGUC
This 441-nucleotide ribosomal RNA is filed under the name uncultured bacterium. RNAcentral describes it as "partial 16S ribosomal RNA". It matches the Rfam family "Bacterial small subunit ribosomal RNA", at positions 338 to 795 of the family's 1533-position model. The record is from RNAcentral.